RNAcentral lists this ribosomal RNA (441 nucleotides) under uncultured bacterium. Its description in RNAcentral is "partial 16S ribosomal RNA". It matches the Rfam family "Bacterial small subunit ribosomal RNA", at positions 338 to 795 of the family's 1533-position model. The record is from RNAcentral.
CCUACGGGAGGCUGCAGUGGGGAAUAUUGCACAAUGGGGGGAACCCUGAUGCAGCGACGCCGCGUGAGUGAAGAAGUAUUUCGGUAUGUAAAGCUCUAUCAGCAGGAACGAGACAAGACGGUACCUGACUAAGAAGCCCCGGCUAACUACGUGCCAGCAGCCGCGGUAAUACGUAGGGGGCAAGCGUUAUCCGGAAUCACUGGGUGUAAGGGGAGCGUAGACGGCGGAGCAAGCCUGAAGUGAAAGGCGGGGGCCCAACCCCCGGACUGCUUUGGGAACUGUACGGCUGGAGUGCAGGAGAGGUAAGUGGAAUUCCUAGUGUAGCGGUGAAAUGCGUAGAUAUUAGGAGGAACACCAGUGGCGAAGGCGGCUUACUGGACUGUAACUGACGUUGAGGCUCGAAAGCGUGGGGAGCAAACAGGAUUAGAUACCCCAGUAGUC